UCUCGACCGGGGCGACAGCAAUAUGAAGGUCAGGCUGAAGACUUACCCGAUUAGCUGAGAGGUGGUGCAUGGCCGUCGUCAGUUCGUACUGUGAAGCAUCCUGUUAAGUCAGGCAACGAGCGAGACCCACGUCCACAGUUGCCAGCAUACCCUCCGGGGUGAUGGGUACACUGUGGAGACCGCCGCUGCUAAAGCGGAGGAAGGAGUGGGCAACGGUAGGUCAGUAUGCCCCGAAUCUCCCGGGCUACACGCGGGCUACAAUGGUUGGUACAAUGGGCAUCUACCCCGAAAGGGGAAGGAAAUCUCUUAAAGCCAAUCGUAGUUCGGAUUGAGGGCUGCAACUCGCCCUCAUGAAGCUGGAAUCCGUAGUAAUCGCGUUUCAACAGAACGCGGUGAAUACGUCCCUGCUCCUU
This 413-nucleotide ribosomal RNA is filed under the name uncultured Methanosaeta sp. Its description in RNAcentral is "bacterial SSU rRNA". It matches the Rfam family "Archaeal small subunit ribosomal RNA", at positions 925 to 1338 of the family's 1478-position model. Lineage: Archaea; Methanobacteriati; Methanobacteriota; Methanomicrobia; Methanotrichales; Methanotrichaceae. The record is from RNAcentral.